AACUUCUUCCUUGUCGUGUUACAAUUUCUGUUGACUCAUCCCAGCUCAGGGGAUGCAGAGCCGCAGGAGUACACAAAAUGAUAAGGUUUUCCUUUCAAUUUAAAAGUCAUGUUUGAAGCAUUUCAUUAAGAAAUUGUAGAGAAAAACUCAUCUCUCAUUAAACAUGAUAGGAAAGGCUUCAGACAUACUUUUUCCAUUCAUCUUCUCAUUAUGGGAAAUGCUGCUGCCUGUGUCACUCAGGUAUAAACUAAAAGGUCAGUUCUUUAGCAAGGAGGCUUUGUAAUCUGUUAGAAAACACGGUGACAACACCCCCAGUGCAUCCUCCUGAUUGUCGCUUCAGUUGGCCCAUGACUUCUCUCUCCCUGCUCCAUACAAUGCAGUUGCAUUUUUGAGGAAAAAAGUUUCUCUUUUUUCUCACUGUUUAGAUUCUCCUAAGCUUAAUAUUUUUAAAACGUUAGCUCCAUCUCACCCCUAAUCCAAGAGAUCCUCAUCUACGUCCCAGAGUACAGGUUGAUGAUGAUUCCCAGUAUCAUCUCCAAGCACAUCACCUCCAGAAACUUUUCUCAAAUGUUCCUUUGACCCCUCCCUACAGGCCAUCAAGGCCCACUGCUCCUGCCUCUGGAUGUUUUAACCCCCAACUUGUCUAUAACACUCACUUUCUAUGACAGUAUAUUAUGGGCAUAUGCAUGUGCAGACGAGUAAAGGUGGAUGCAGGUAGGCACAGGUGAGUGAAGGUGAGCGCAGGUAGGCACAGGUGAGUGAAGGUGGGCGCAGGUAGGCACAGGUGACUGAAGGUGGGUGCAGGUAGGUACAGGUGAGUGAAGGUGGGUGCAGGUAGGCACAGGUGACUGAAGGUGGGUGCAGGUAGGUACAGGUGAGUGAAGGUGGGUGCAGGUAGGUUCAGGUGAGUGAAGGUAGGCGCAGGUAGGUGCAGGUGAGUGCAGGUAGGCACAGGUGAGUGAAGGUGGGCGCAGGUAGGCACAGGUGAGUGAAGGUGGGUGCAGGUAGGCACAGGUGAGUGAAGGUGGGUGCAGGUAGGUACAGGUGAGUGAAGGUGGGUGCAGGUAGGUUCAGGUGAGUGAAAGUAGGCACAGGUAGGCGCAGGUGAGUGAAGGUAAGUGCAGGUAGGCACAGGUGAGUGAAGGUGGGCGCAGGUAGGCACAGGUGAGUGAAGGUGGGCACAGGUAGGCACAGGUGAGUGAAGGUCGGUGCAGGUAGGUACAGGUGAGUGAAGGUGGGCACAGGUAGGCACAGGUGAGUGAAGGUGGGUGCGGGUAGGCACAGGUGAGUGAAGGUGGGUGCAGGUAGGUAAAAGUGAGUGAAGGUGGGCGCAGGUAGGCACAGGUGAGUGAAGGUGGGCGCAGGUAGGCACAGGUGAGUGAAGGUGGGUGCGGGUAGGUACAGGUGAGUGAAGGUAGGUGCAGGUAGGCACAGGUGAGUGAAGGUGGGUGCAGGUAGGUAUAGGUGAGUGAAGGUGGGUGCAGGUAGGUAUAGGUGAGUGAAGGUGGGCACAGGUAGGUACAGGUGAGUGAAGGUAGGUGCAGGUAGGCACAGGUGAGUGAAGGUGGGUGCAGGUAGGUGCAGGUGAGUGAAGGUGGGUGCAGUAGGUACUGGUGAGCAAGGGUGGACACAGGUAGGUACUGGUGAAUGAGGGUGGGUGCAGGUAGGUUCAGGUGAGUGAAGGUGGGUGCAGGUACAUACUGGUGAGUGAAGGUGGGUGCAGGUAGGUUCAGGUGAGUGAAGGUGGGUGCAGGUAGAUACUGGUGAGUGAGGGGGGGUGCAGGUAGGUUCAGGUGAGUGAGGGUGGGUGCAGGUAGGUACUGGUGAGUGAGGGUGGGUGCAGGUAGGUGCAGGUGAGUGAAGGUGGGUGCAAGUAGGUGCAGGUGAGUGAGGUAGGUGCAGGUGGUAGAGAAGGGUCCUGCCUCAGAAUGCCUAUCCAUUCAUUCCAUAAAUGACCACUUCUUGAGUGCUAUUUGUUAAAACUUUCCCAAGACCCCAGGACACUGCUAAAUAAUCUAUACAGGAAGUCUGAUCUUGGAAAGCUUACAAACUAUCCGAAGGGGUAGGCAUUAAAUCAAGUGCUCAAUUUAUUAGCUAUUUGCAGUGGUUAAAAGUGCCUCAAGGAAGAAAAACAAAAUUCUUGAAAAUGUUUCAAAACCAAACCUGACCAAAUCUCAGGACAAGGGUCAAGGGAGGCUCUCUGAGGACAUAUCAGAGGAGUGGGUGUUGGAUGGUCAAGGAAAAGAAAAGAAUGUCAGAACAGCAUGUACACGGCCCCGAAGCAGCAUGGAGAUGGGUUCUUUUCUGCAAAACUUUCAAAACCAGCACUGCUGAACCAAUAAGAAAGUGAGUCUGGUAGAGGCUACACAGAGGUUCUAAAUCCAUGCAACCUACGUGUUCAUCCAUCAACGAGUAAGUGGAUAAAGAAAAUACCGUCCAUAUACACAAUGGAGUACUAUUCAGCCAUAAAAAAGAAUGAGAUCCAGUCAUCUGCAACAACAUGGAUGGAACUGAAGAUCACUAAGUUACAUAAACCAGGCACAGAAAGACAAACAUCACAUGUUCUCACUUAUCUGUGGGAUCCAAAAGUCAAUACAAUUGAACUCAUGGACAUAUAGAGUAGAAGGAUGGUUACCAGAGGCUGGGAAGGGAGGUAGGGAGCUGUGGGGGAGGUGGAGAUGGUUAAUGGGCACAAAAAAUAGUUAGAAAGAAUUAAUAAGAUGUACUAUUUGAUAGCACAACAGACUACAGUCAAUAAUAACUGUACAUUUUAAAAUAAAUAGUAUAAUCGGAUUGUUUGCAACUCAAUGGAUAAAUGCUUGGGA
This 2825-nucleotide long non-coding RNA is filed under the name Homo sapiens (human). Its description in RNAcentral is "HSALNT0268905". Lineage: Eukaryota; Metazoa; Chordata; Mammalia; Primates; Hominidae. The record is from RNAcentral.